UGAUUAGACUCUGCUCAGGUCACCACGGUCAGUGCAGAGAGUUUUUCUCUCACACCAUUCCAGGAAAGCAUUCUCCGUUUUGGUGUUUUAGAUAUGUGUGGUUUGUGUUCACGUCUAGUUUUUUUUUUUUUGUUUGUUCAAACUUGCCGAUUGUUGGAUUGCAAUCUUCCCUCAUCAGGACACAGGCUGAAUGUUGACAGAAGCAAUGGGGAUGACAAGAUGUUCAGCACUCUCGUAUCAAAAGUUUAACGUCAGGAGAAUGCUGCAACACUGUUUCGCUGCGAGGAUCCAGCAACGUCUUGUGGACGACAAAACAUCCCCUGACUUUGAUUCGGCAUGGCGUUACAUAACGCAGAAACAAGUGAUCGGGGGCGGAGUUCCUGAGACAGAGACACCAUUCACCAACCAUCAAAAUGAUUCUGAAGCCAAUAUUUUAAGUGAUCCGUCGCCUGGAGCUGAAUGAGGACAGGAGGAGCAUGGGAGGAGGGGAUGCACACAGGGAGAAAAGUAAGAUGGGAGGAGAAGGCACCAGGACGAACUUGGAAACAGAAAACAUAUGCAGAGGAUGCAUGGUGGGUCAGGAUCACAAAACCGUAUGGUCUGACGGUUAUUCUUCUUUCAUUAUUUGUUAAAAUGUCGAAAAAUUCUUAGAAAUGCUCAUCACAAAAUGUCACAUUUUCAAAUGGCUUAUUUUGCCAAGAGCCCAAAACCCAAAGACUUUCUUAUAAAUGACAAGAAAAGCAGCAGAUCCUCAUGGUUAAGAAGCAGGAGCCAGCGAAUGUUUGCCUUUUUUACCCUUAAAUUAAUUAAAUGAUUAAUCAAUUGUAAGCAUAGUUUAGGAUGAAUUUUCUUUUGAUCGACUUGAUCGAUCCACUCAUCGCUGCAGCUCUAUUGGGAGCUACUUCAAACAAGGCCACGGGUCAGAUGUUAGCCUGAGGUAACUCUUUAGUGUAACCAUCAUGAAUAAAAUGUAAACAGAUAAUUAAACUUUAGUUAAUAGUUAUUUCACUGUUAACAAACUUUGUAAUGCUUUAUAUUUACUAGAGUUUAUAAGCAUCAGUUGCUUCUUUAUAAUGUCUACUGGUGACUUGUUAAAGUGACUUUUAUGCAGUCACAGAAGUUGACAGAAGAAAACUCUUGUGUUUUUAUGGUGGUCAAAUACAACCUGCUCUUGUGUGAACUCUGACCUCCUUCAAGCAAACAGAAAACCUUCCCUACUGGGGUCAAUAAAAUGUUUCAUCAUCAUCAUCAUCUCAUUCUUUGAGUGUCUGUCCCGCUUUCUGAGAGCUGUGAUGUAAGCGCGGUGCCAGCGGUGCCGCAGGGAGCCGGCUGGGUUGCUGGGCCAUCUCUGAUGUAACACCUCAGGGAGCCGAGUCUCACCUUGUUUCUGAUCUGGGCCAACCCAUUUAGAAUGGGACACUUUCACCCACAUUAUUAGAGCAGUUAUACAAUGGAGAAAGUGAUGCAAACAUAGGAUGAUCAACGCUUACGUGUAGAAACACUAUUCCGAUAUCAAAGUGACUCAGGGAGAGAAAAUCUCCAAAAUCUCCGUGGAAGAUGACAGUUCUCAGCGAGCGAGUGUCACUGACGACAAAUGGAGGCUCGAGUUUGGAGCGUCAACAAAGAGUCAGAUUUUUUGUGAGCUCCUGUGACAUUUGACUUAUUUUGAGGCAACAUGCCCUGAUUGGAAACACAAAGUCUACUCGGUUUUAAAGUGUCAAGCAACUUUUUCAGGUGUGUCGAAUAAGCUCGACUACAGGCAGACGGCCUCAUUCAGGUUAGCCAACACGACGACUAA
This is a long non-coding RNA of Acanthopagrus latus (yellowfin seabream), 1798 nucleotides long. RefSeq lists it as uncharacterized. The record is from RefSeq and is a predicted model, not a curated record. The transcript has 6 exons. NCBI's taxonomy places the organism in Eukaryota, Metazoa, Chordata, Actinopteri, Spariformes, Sparidae.